GUUUCUGGCCAUAUCACCUAAAAUGGGCCUAAUUUUAUCAGAUCUUGGAAGCUAAGGAGAGUUGAGCCUGGAUAAUGCUUGGAUAGCAGGUUAUUAUAGGCU
This 102-nucleotide ribosomal RNA is filed under the name Petromyzon marinus (sea lamprey). The record is from RNAcentral. Lineage: Eukaryota; Metazoa; Chordata; Hyperoartia; Petromyzontiformes; Petromyzontidae.